GAGGCUUCACAUCAGUACUUUAUAAAAGCUAAAACUAAGUUGAUUAGCUUAUGCUUAUGUUAGUGAAGCCUAAAUAAACUGUUCCCCUCGCUAUCCAGAGCGGCGUUCUGUGUUGCAUUUGGACGUCGGGGAACUACAUUC
Populus trichocarpa (black cottonwood) is the source of this 141-nucleotide non-coding RNA. The record is from Rfam. Lineage: Eukaryota; Viridiplantae; Streptophyta; Magnoliopsida; Malpighiales; Salicaceae.